UCCUGUAUACUUGAAAAGAAAACUGAAAGUGCCUUUCUUCACAAGAAAUUAUUGUGUUUUCCUCUUUUUUUCAUAACCCACAGGGAAGAUAUCAGCCUGCUGGAGCCCACCCCGAGGAGCCCCGUGCUAUAUGAUAUGGGUCCUGGUGAUAGGAACCUCUCUUCUGGCUGUUAAAGUGCAUUCCUGUGUAGAUGUGGAAAGAGAGAAAGCAUGCUGGAGCCGGAGCUAGGAUAGGAAUGAGUCUGGGACACGGAGAAACCAUGCAACGUGCCUGAGAACUUACAGCAAAGCGUGAGAGAAAAGGAGCUGGGACACUGGAUUUAUGCGAUGCUGGAAAGCAAGCCAGUUCUGAUUACGGGUGGAUUUUUAUUAAAGCAGAAAUUGCAGUUCAACUCUUGAGUUUCUGAAGACAAAGGUGGCAGAAGGAGG
Long non-coding RNA from Nyctereutes procyonoides (raccoon dog), 429 nucleotides. RefSeq lists it as uncharacterized. NCBI's taxonomy places the organism in Eukaryota, Metazoa, Chordata, Mammalia, Carnivora, Canidae. The record is from RefSeq and is a predicted model, not a curated record. The transcript is spliced from 4 exons.